Molecule: transfer RNA, 71 nt
Filed under: Ictidomys tridecemlineatus (thirteen-lined ground squirrel)
Lineage: Eukaryota; Metazoa; Chordata; Mammalia; Rodentia; Sciuridae
Description: Spermophilus tridecemlineatus (thirteen-lined ground squirrel) tRNA
Rfam family: tRNA
About the family: Transfer RNA (tRNA) molecules are approximately 80 nucleotides in length.
Source: Rfam by way of RNAcentral
GGAGUUGUAACUCAGUGGUAGAGUGCUUGCCUUACAUGUGUGAGGCACACUGGGUUCAAUUCCCAAUACCA